UUUUUUUCUUUUUUCAUUUUUUAGUGCAAUUACUACCUCUUAACCUGCUUUAUAACUUACUCAUUUGUUACGUUUCCUGUUUGCCCUCCUUCACAGAACAUAAACUUCACGAGGGCAAGGAUUAUUGUCUGAUGUGCUUAGGACCCAAAUAUUUAGGGUAAUCUAGUUCCUAGUAAAUUCUUAAUAAAUAUUUAUUGGAAAAAAAAAUGAACAGCAUAAAUGGCAAAGAUCUUACUGAUUACCACGCAGAAACAAAUCUGUGGUUAUAAAAAAUAGAAGUUUUAGAAUUGUUUCCCUACUGAAGUUUUGCACUUCUCCAGUUUUCUGGUUGAAAUUUAAAAUUCACAGAAGAAAUGCAGCAGUAUUCCCAUAACUGUACCUAAACCUCUCUCAUAUCUGGGACUCAAAUCCUGGCUCUUGUAAGAGCUCACAGCUCCUAUAGGAGUGAGCAUUUAUCAGUUGUGACACAAAUGUUCCCGUGUAGUAUUUUGUACAUAUGGUGUUAACUUUUAUGCUUUAAUAUAUAUGUGCAAUAUGUCUGAAUUAUACUUGCUCUAGGAACCAUCACUUUUACUUUACUGACUUUUGUAUAUUUAAAACCUCAGGCAUAAUACGGUAUUGAAUUAAAGUUUUUUUGGUUGUUUAAUUUCCACAGAAGUAAGAAAAAGAAUAAUUGUUUUAACAACCAAUUUUUUUCAUGGCUUGUACAAUGCAAAAUUCUGCCAAGUUUGGGAAGCACGUGAUAACUAAAUAUUAGAAAAUGGAUGUGAGGUCCCCAAACAUCCCUGCAUCAACUUCAAGAAGGUUUCUAAUACAUGCUUAUUAUACCUAAUUCAUUUAAAAUAUGUUAAAUAAAAGAAUAACAUAAAAGAGGAGUUCCCUUGUGGCACAGCAGGUUAAGGAUCUGGUGAUCUCAUUGCAGCAGCUGAGGUCACUGUUAUGGUGCAGGUUCAAUCUCUAACCCAGGAAAACUUCCACAUGCUGCAAGCACAGCCCCCGCACCCUGCCCACAAAAAAAAGUAAUGCAUAGAGCUUAUAAAUAUAUUGAUGAUAUACACUCACUCAAACAUGAAUUAUAAACUUAUUGUAGGAAUUCUCAUUGUGGCUCAGUGGGUUAAAAAUCCAACUGCAGCAGCUUGGGUUGCUGCAGAGGUGUGGGUUCCAUCCCUGGAUUAAAGGAUCCGGUGUGGCUGCACCUGCAGCUCAGAUUUAAUCCAUGGCUCAGAAACUUCUAUAUGCCACAGGUGCAGCCAUUUAAAACAGAAACAAAAAACACAAAAUUUACUGCAGCCAAGGAUAUAGUAAUUUCUAACUCAAUCUUAUUUUGUACCCUUCAAUUCAAUCUUAUAGUUAUGACAACACAAGAAGACAUCUGAGAAAGAGUGCUUAAUUUUAAAUGUCAUAUGCCCAUUUAAACAAAAACAGCAAAAAGAAUGAACACAAAUAUAAUGAGGCUAAACCACUGAAAUUGAAAGGAAACAUAAAAACUCCAAUAUAAAAGAAUAAAAAUUAAGAGCAUGUAUUAUGAAUGUACCAUGUUAAUUUAGUAUUAACUAAAUUAACUAGAGGGGAGAGCUUUUAAAAACUACAUGACUAACUGCUAUGUAAAUAUUAGAUAAGCCCAUAGAUAUACCUAAGAUAGACUUCAAAAAGUCUGCAAAUAUAUAAAGUGAAAGAUGAUUCUACAAAAUAAAAAGAUCAACCUUUUCACAUACCGUAUGUGAAGCUUACAUACAGUGAGCUCACAAGCUUACUUUCAUCUAUAUUCAUCAGAAAUUCUAUCAUAAUUGAACUGCCUCUCAUUCUUGGCCUAUCAACAUGAAAAAGUUGGGCCCAGGCUAUAACCAAAGACAAUCAUUAUUGUCAGGGCAGUGGCAUGGCCCAGUUUUUCUAAAUUAGUUUUAAUUUCAAAUUUUCUCUUCCCACUUAUUAGUUUGAAACAAUGUUUUCUUCAAAGGUGUAGUUUGAAAAUUCUCUUUGCCUAUUCUAAUUCCAAAUUUAUAAAAAUUAAGAAAUAAUUUGAUUAACAUAUGUCAAUCCAAAAAAUAUCAUUUUAAGGAGACCGUAUUGUUAACCUCCUUCAUUCACUACAACUUUUUUUUUUUAGUACUUUCACAUCAUCCUUUGUAUAUAAAUAAUAUCUUAGUAAUAACCCAUCCUUGUCUCUUUGAUCUGGCAGAAUCUCUACUUGAAAAAUCUUGAUAGCUACAAGUUUUUGUGAAUGAAAACAAACUAUUAUUUUUUUUAAUCUCAUAAUUUAUUUUCACUAACUCAUGAUGGCUUCUCCACCAACCCCUCAGACUAACUUAAAUUAAAUAAAAUAUGGGUUUAUAACACCCAGACAGUUACUUAACCAAAUAACAAAUACCUACGUAGGCUGCUUGAAGUCAUGUCCUCUGAUACACUCACAGUCAAGUCCAAUGAUCACAGAAUUACCCGCCUCUGCUAGAGGUAAAGGACUCCCCCAGGGAGGAAUAGUCUUCCUACAACUUUUUGCAUAGGUCCACUUUGACAUUACUUACAACUCUCCUUUGAGAAUUUCCUAAUUUUAGCAAAUACACACAAAGAACAACCAAAACAUCAAGGAAAGAUUGACUCUAAAUGUAGGACUGUUCUAGGUGUUCAGCUUUACUUGUACCCCAAUAGGCGAGAAACCAAAAGCGUAUGCUAUAAUCACUUGUCCAUCAGCUCAUAAGCCAGGGAGGGAAGAAGGUGAAGACAAUUAGAUAAAGUGGCUGAUGGGAAAGCCAACUGGGAGGCCAGGAAUCAAAUAGCCCCUCUGUCUUCUGUGGCUACUGGUACACACACGCUUGGGCAGCUCACCCCUCCUUGCCAUCUUGCUUUCAUUUCUCAUUUUAUUUUUUAUCUCCAUAAUGGCCUGCUAACUACUUAUUAACAUCUAUCAGAAAACCUAGCUCCAGUUCUGACCAGCCUAAGGGCAACAGGUUGAACCUGGGUCAUGGAAAAUAUGAAAUAACUGAUCUAGUUUCCACAAGGUCUUUCAUGGACUGAAUGGAAAUUAUUCAAAAAGCACUGAAGGAAAUACAUAUUCAUAUUCUGUCUUUCUAUCUAUAUUUCUCUCCUUCAUGGUCUUUUUGUAUUUGGUUUUGAUGAGAAUCUGUAUCUCUAAG
RNAcentral lists this long non-coding RNA (3131 nucleotides) under Sus scrofa (pig). Its description in RNAcentral is "lncRNA (ENSSSCG00000053342.1, ENSSSCG00110004285.1)". RNAcentral also lists the same sequence under 1 other name. The record is from RNAcentral. Lineage: Eukaryota; Metazoa; Chordata; Mammalia; Artiodactyla; Suidae.